AGUGUGGUUUUGUUUUCUGCCUGUCUCAUUGUCUUUGGCCGGGAUGGGGUGGACUCGAGGUUUUUGCUUGUCAUGUAGUUUAUUUUUGGAGUUUUGCGGGAUGGCAGGGGUUGUGGGGUUUCUCUGUGUCGCAACCCUCUUGCCGUUGAGCCGUGCUGUCUUGUUGACUGUCGGAUGUUUGGAGAGGUCAUGUGGGACAGCAGUGUGGUUAUGCUCACUAUCAUUAUUGUUUGAAUGUCGUCUUUCUUGGUUGGUCGCACGUUGAGCUGCUUGUAAGUGUUGUAAACGUGCCUCUACAUUAUUUUUUAUGAUUGUUAUGAAACUUCUUGUGUAUCCAUGCUUUAUUGCUUGCUGGGUUACUUAUUGUAGUUCUUCCUCAUAAGUCUGCUAAUUCUGAACAGUAGAUGUAAGCUCUUCUUAUAUAUGAUCGGAAGGCAGCUUUUUUGAAUUUGAAGGGGUCAUCAGACCAUGAUGGUAUAAAUACUAGUGCAAACAUGGGCA
Molecule: long non-coding RNA, 501 nt
Filed under: Androctonus crassicauda
Lineage: Eukaryota; Metazoa; Arthropoda; Arachnida; Scorpiones; Buthidae
Source: RNAcentral